UGUAACGGGGCUCAAGCCACGAGCCGAAGCUCAGGAUGCAUCGCAAGAUGCGUGGUAGCGGAGCGUUCUGUCUAUGUAGACCCUGCCUCUUCAGCGCCCCUCGGGGCGGUGCGGAGGUGAGGGUCUCGGCGAUGAAGCCGGCCUGUGAGGGACCGGUGGAG
RNAcentral lists this ribosomal RNA (161 nucleotides) under Amaricoccus sp. HAR-UPW-R2A-40. RNAcentral's name for it is "partial 23S ribosomal RNA". The record is from RNAcentral. Lineage: Bacteria; Pseudomonadati; Pseudomonadota; Alphaproteobacteria; Rhodobacterales; Paracoccaceae.